CUCUGAACUCCAUGUGCUUCAGUUAACCCUUUCCCAAUGCGGUUCUCCGAUCAUUUUGUUUUAAAAACUAAUGUUUUCAUGAUGGAGACUGCUAGGUCACAUUCCCCAGGUAAAGAUAUUCAAAUUAUAGAAACCAGCCAAAGGUUUCCAUGAGGAAGGAUAUACUGAUUUUGGACUUAGACUUUUUCAAAUCCUUUUUUUUAACUUGAUAUAACAAGAGAGGAGAUCACACUUCUGAGAGGCAGGCUCACAUGUAAGUAUUGCAUUUUUUUAAAUUAUAAAGGGUAGUGAUGGGUUAAAUGGUCUCAAUAGAACAGAUACAUUCAUUGGCUAAAUGUACAUAUCUUGAAUUUAAACAGUUUUUAUGAUUUUAUUAUUAUAUAAUCUUUCUAAUGUACUGGAAGUCUCAGUCCCCCUUCAACUCCCUCUCACUUUUGUUCUUUCACUGAUCCCAAAUAUACAUUCUGAAAUACUUCAAUCUACACCAGUAAUGGAAUGCACUAAGUUGUCAACUUGUUGGCCUCUGAAGUACCAACAUUGUCUCAGCUGUUGAGUCACAAACUGGGGAAAACACAUCUCAAGUAUGUCCGAGGUGGGGCUCUAAUCAAUGUUGGGGAGGGUUUGGGGAUGGUUGCAGGGAGUGGGUGUUCCCUCUUCCCAAUUACCUUUUAACUUUUCUUUUUUAAGAGUUUCAGCCAGGUCUUCAAGCGUUGGUAUAUCUUCGAAAAUUUUUAUUAGUUUGCCCAAACCAGCAUCACCUCGGAACUUUUCUUCCAUCAAGUCAGCAAUCUGAAUUUUGUCAUACUCUUCUCUCAUUUUUAAAUUAAGUUUUAAAUCGUUGCUCAGUAAGGACUUAACCAUUCUAAAAUGAUAAUCAUUGAUGACCUCUAAUCCUUUUAGUAGAACAAUGUUCUUGUAUUUUUUUCCCAUCUUUACAGACAUAAGUGAGCCUACAAGAGAAAAUGGUAUAUACAGUGUUACACAUGUAUACAGACAAUUUAAAAGAUGUAUGCCUAUGUGAGUGAGUGGCCCAUAUGAAAGAGUUGUUCAUGAAUAUGUGUGAUAAAGAAGGACUCAACGACCAAAUGUGUUACUGUAGAAAUUGAGUGAAGAACUGCUGGGUUAGGAAUGUCUAAGAAAUUAUUCCCAUUGAAUGAGAAUAGUUGAGU
RNAcentral lists this long non-coding RNA (1169 nucleotides) under Homo sapiens (human). RNAcentral's name for it is "non-protein coding lnc-AIM2-3:3". Lineage: Eukaryota; Metazoa; Chordata; Mammalia; Primates; Hominidae. The record is from RNAcentral.